RNAcentral lists this ribosomal RNA (253 nucleotides) under uncultured bacterium. RNAcentral describes it as "partial 16S ribosomal RNA". It matches the Rfam family "Bacterial small subunit ribosomal RNA", at positions 524 to 776 of the family's 1533-position model. The record is from RNAcentral.
CACGUAGGGUGCGAGCGUUGUCCGGAAUUAUUGGGCCUAAAGCAUCCGUAGCCGGUUCUACAAGUCUUCCGUUAAAUCCAACUGCUUAACAGGUGGGCUGCGGAAGAUACUAUAGAGCUAGGAGGCGGGAGAGGCAAGCGGUACUCGAUGGGUAGGGGUAAAAUCCGUUGAUCCAUUGAAGACCACCAGUGGCGAAGGCGGCUUGCCAGAACGCGCUCGACGGUGAGGGAUGAAAGCUGGGGGAGCAAACCGG